Molecule: ribosomal RNA, 253 nt
Filed under: uncultured bacterium
Lineage: Bacteria
Description: partial 16S ribosomal RNA
Rfam family: Bacterial small subunit ribosomal RNA
Source: RNAcentral
UACGAGGGGUGCGAGCGUUAUUCGGAAUUACUCGGCGUAAAGCGCGUGUAGGCGGCCUAUUAUGUCAGGUGUGAAAGCCCUCGGCCUAACCGAGGAAGUGCGCCUGAAACUGCUAGGCUUGAGUACGAGAGAGGAGGACGGAAUUCCCAGUGUAGAGGUGAAAUUCGUAGAUAUUGGGAGGAACACCAGCGGCGAAAGCGGUUCUCUGGAUCGAUACUGACGCUAAGACGCGAAAGCGUGGGGAGCAAACAGG